GCUCGCACAGUUGGUAGAGCAUGGGACUCUUAAUCUCAGGGUUGUGAGUUCAAGCCCCACGUUGGGCA
RNAcentral lists this transfer RNA (68 nucleotides) under Felis catus (domestic cat). It matches the Rfam family "tRNA". Rfam says of the family: Transfer RNA (tRNA) molecules are approximately 80 nucleotides in length. Their secondary structure includes four short double-helical elements and three loops (D, anti-codon, and T loops). The record is from Rfam by way of RNAcentral. Lineage: Eukaryota; Metazoa; Chordata; Mammalia; Carnivora; Felidae.